AUCCCGUGGCAAACAAGCAGAAAACCGUUAACCCACAAUCCCUUGUGCCUUCAGGAUGGACGGGAUAGAUGAACGUGAUGUUUUUUCAACCUUUGCAGGACGGAGACAAUGGCAGACAGCUUCUCAGCCAGAGACACAGCUUGCAAUCCCGCAGAGCCGCGAACGUGAGAUUGGAGACGUGUCUAGACAGCAUAUUUAGACAACCAGAAAGGAAACACAGAUGUCCCCGGCUCCCGAUACCAGUGCUACGUGGCUCUGUGCUCUCUGCUGCAUCUCCCUUCUUGAUCGCCCGGGACGAGAGCCACGAUACCCAGCACGCUGGAGGCACUGGAUUUCUCUGCUGAUCAGAGGCAGCUCUCAUCCCUCACAGGACCUGCCCCGCUCCCGGGAUUUAAAGGCCGUCUCCUCGUCAACCGGGCUGUUCCCGACAUGUGCAAAAAUCUCUCCCUUCUGGACCUCCCUGGCCAAGGACGACUUCCUUCUCUCGCCUCUUGGCAGCCCGUGCCGACCAUGCCGCCCUGGGGACGGAGACCCGCAGAGAGGGGCAUGCACUGAGGGUGAGCGGUGACUCCACGGACAUGAUACGUGGGACGGGAAAAGAGCCACGUCCUGCAAAAUUGCACGAGCUACCAGGGCGCUGGCGGCCGAGAUGGAUCCUCUUGGGGGUUGGGUUGACUUAGAGCUGGUUGGGUUCCUGGAAAGGCCAUGAGCGAGGAAGUCGAUGGCCCCACAGCGGGACGAAUCAGAGUCAGUCGCGCAGAGAGGGCUACAUUAACCUCCUUCCUGGGUAUUUUUACUCAGAGAGAACAAGUUUUCUCCAAGAAAAGCCCUGAGGACAAACCCCAAACCCCGCAAAUGGAUACACCCCCGGGCGGCCUCCAGUCUGACAGCCAUCGCCCCCUCGGCCACACGCUGCCUCCCAUCUGUCCCUCCGCAGGCCCCCCCACGGCACCUGUAGCAGAACAUCAAACCCCCGCAGUCACCAAACCCUGGAUUCUUAACUUUGAGAAGGAACCCGUCCAACUUGGCUGAAACUCUUCCGUGGCUGGGGAGAGAGAACAACGCCAGAAAUAGAAGUCUCGAGAACUUUGGGGGAUAAUAAGAAGGAGGGCUACAGAUGGCGAGAUAUUUUUCAAUCCUGUGAUUAAUUCUUAAUGAACUUUUACAUUCCCGCAAACAGAACUGAAUCAGCUGGUAACUCCCUCCCAGAAGAGGGGCAGGACUUCAAAGGAAAGUUGCUUUUGGCUCACAGAACAAAACAGAGCAACAAUUCAAAACAAAUGUUAAUACAAGCAGUUCUAACUCAGACGGAGAUUGAGCUCCAAAAGCUCAUUUUUGGACAUUUGUGAAGCCCUGCGACCACUUCCUCUGAAAGCAGACACAUCCAUACAUCAGAGAUGAGUGAGGGGGAAAAAUGGUCUGUGUCUCGUUCUGUCAUGGUGUUUGAAAUGCUCUGGGCGCCGGCCCAGGAGCGAACCCCCCUACACACACAGGGUCUUGUGGGGAGAUCCCUGAGCUUGAGAUCCAGUGGCCAUGACCUCGUUUUCAAGUUGGAAAAAGCACAGCCUGCAGUGGUGUGGAGGGAGGAAGUUUUGGGCUGGCCGACCCCCUCUUGAAAGUUCUUCCCCCUGAAGGGAUUCUGAACUGGGACGGGACAAAGCAGGAGGUUUUAGAGUAGGUUUUCCUGAUGCCUGCUGAAAAGGUAUUGUGUCCAUUGAAUUCAAUGCUAGUAAGGCAAGGACUGCCUGUGGGGCAGAGCAGUGUAGAGGAUAGGACAGGUCUCCACUCCCCCAUUGUCAUCGCACCUGAAUCCACCUGCCCUCCGGUGUUGGCUUUUGCAUCCUGUUAGAAACUUGGGUCUGCCAUUUCUGUACUCACAUA
Leopardus geoffroyi (Geoffroy's cat) is the source of this 1881-nucleotide long non-coding RNA. RefSeq lists it as uncharacterized. The transcript has 2 exons. NCBI's taxonomy places the organism in Eukaryota, Metazoa, Chordata, Mammalia, Carnivora, Felidae. The record is from RefSeq and is a predicted model, not a curated record.